CCAGACGGACGGCUGAGGAAAAUACUCAAGUAGUGCAGUGAAAGGAAAAAUUCUAACCUCGACCGUAAAUACCGCGUGUCCAUCGUGGCUAAGAUCUAGUCAAAAGAUCAGCCGACCAUUCCUACGUUUAUUAAGCGAAGGCCGAACCCAUCGGGUUUGGCCGUACGUAAUACCGUACGAAACGCCGGUCGUAGUGCCGUAAGCCGUACCCGCUACAGUCUCGUCACCUUACCACACAUAUAAAUACCCAGCGUCCCGAUCGACUACAGUAUGUG
Drosophila miranda is the source of this 275-nucleotide long non-coding RNA. RefSeq lists it as uncharacterized. The record is from RefSeq and is a predicted model, not a curated record. The transcript is spliced from 2 exons. NCBI's taxonomy places the organism in Eukaryota, Metazoa, Arthropoda, Insecta, Diptera, Drosophilidae.